UGGGGAAUAUUGCACAAUGGGCGCAAGCCUGAUGCAGCCAUGCCGCGUGUGUGAAGAAGGCCUUCGGGUUGUAAAGCACUUUCAGCGGGGAGGAAGGCGAUAAGGUUAAUAACCUUGUCGAUUGACGUUACCCGCAGAAGAAGCACUGGCUAACUCCGUGCCAGCAGCUGCGGUAAUACGGAGGGUGCAAGCGUUAAUCGGAAUUACUGGGCGGAAAGCGCACGCAGGCGGUCUGUCAAGUCGGAUGUGAAAUCCCCGGGCUUAACCUGGGAACUGCAUUCGAAACUGGCAGGCUAGAGUCUGGUAGAGGGGGGUAGAGUUCCAGGUGUAGCGGUGCAAUGGGUAGUGAUCUGGAGGAAUACCGGUAGCGAAGGCGGCCCCCUGGACAAAGACUGACGCUCAAGUGCGAAAGCGUGGGGAGCAAACAGG
Molecule: ribosomal RNA, 429 nt
Filed under: Chloroflexota bacterium
Lineage: Bacteria; Bacillati; Chloroflexota
Description: Chloroflexi bacterium partial 16S ribosomal RNA
Rfam family: Bacterial small subunit ribosomal RNA
Source: RNAcentral